CCUACGGUCGGCUGCAGUGGGGGAUAUUGCACAAUGGGGGAAACUCUGAUGCAGCGAUGCCGCGUGUGGGAAGACGGUCCUCUGGAUUGUAAACCACUGUCCUCAGGGACGAAGAUGACGGUACCUGGGGAGGACGCUCCGGCAAACUACGUGCCAGCAGCCGCGGUAAUACGUAGGGAGCGAGCGGUGUCCGGAAUUACUGGGUGUAAAGGGAGCGUAGGCGGGGAUGAAAGUUGGGGGUCAAAACUACCGGCUCAACUGGUAGUCGCACUCAAAACUGCAGGUCUUGAGUGAAGUAGAGGCAGGCGGAAUUCCUAGUGUAGCGGUGAAAUGCGUAGAUAUUAGGAGGAACACCAGUGGCGAAGGCGGCCAGCUGGGCUGUUACUGACGCUGAGGCUCGAAAGUGUGGGGAGCAAACAGGAUUAGAUACCCCUGUAGUC
This 440-nucleotide ribosomal RNA is filed under the name uncultured bacterium. RNAcentral's name for it is "partial 16S ribosomal RNA". It matches the Rfam family "Bacterial small subunit ribosomal RNA", at positions 338 to 795 of the family's 1533-position model. The record is from RNAcentral.